RNAcentral lists this ribosomal RNA (497 nucleotides) under uncultured bacterium. RNAcentral describes it as "partial 16S ribosomal RNA". It matches the Rfam family "Bacterial small subunit ribosomal RNA", at positions 28 to 507 of the family's 1533-position model. The record is from RNAcentral.
GAUGAACGCUGGCGGCGUGCCUAAUACAUGCAAGUCGAGCGAACAGACGAGGAGCUUGCUCCUCUGACGUUAGCGGCGGACGGGUGAGUAACACGUGGAUAACCUACCUAUAAGACUGGGAUAACUUCGGGAAACCGGAGCUAAUACCGGAUAAUAUAUUGAACCGCAUGGUUCAAUAGUGAAAGACGGUUUUGCUGUCACUUAUAGAUGGAUCCGCGCCGCAUUAGCUAGUUGGUAAGGUAACGGCUUACCAAGGCAACGAUGCGUAGCCGACCUGAGAGGGUGAUCGGCCACACUGGAACUGAGACACGGUCCAGACUCCUACGGGAGGCAGCAGUAGGGAAUCUUCCGCAAUGGGCGAAAGCCUGACGGAGCAACGCCGCGUGAGUGAUGAAGGUCCUCGGAUCGUAAAACUCUGUUAUUAGGGAAGAACAAAUGUGUAAGUAACUAUGCACGUCUUGACGGUACCUAAUCAAAAAGCCACGGCUAACUACGUG